GGGACCCGCGUGGGAGAGACCGAUCAUCGGCGCCGAAGAGGCAAAUCCUCCCCGGAAACUUUCAGGCAAACGGACCGCGCGGGCCAG
Molecule: non-coding RNA, 87 nt
Filed under: Actinoplanes sp.
Lineage: Bacteria; Bacillati; Actinomycetota; Actinomycetes; Micromonosporales; Micromonosporaceae
Also listed under: 1 other name
Description: Glycine sequence
Rfam family: Glycine riboswitch aptamer
About the family: This family represents the bacterial glycine riboswitch. Glycine riboswitches usually consist of two metabolite-binding aptamers domains with similar structures in tandem.
Source: RNAcentral